GAGGGUAUAGCUCAGCAGUAGAGUACAUGCCUAGCAUGCACAAGGUCCUGGGUUCAGUCCUCAGUACCUCCA
Molecule: transfer RNA, 72 nt
Filed under: Camelus bactrianus (Bactrian camel)
Lineage: Eukaryota; Metazoa; Chordata; Mammalia; Artiodactyla; Camelidae
Also listed under: 3 other names
Rfam family: tRNA
About the family: Transfer RNA (tRNA) molecules are approximately 80 nucleotides in length.
Source: Rfam by way of RNAcentral